RNAcentral lists this ribosomal RNA (254 nucleotides) under uncultured bacterium. Its description in RNAcentral is "partial 16S ribosomal RNA". It matches the Rfam family "Bacterial small subunit ribosomal RNA", at positions 793 to 1055 of the family's 1533-position model. The record is from RNAcentral.
GUCCACGCCCUAACGAUGCUAACUCGAUGUUGGGAAUUAUUUGAGCAUCCAAGCGAAGCGUUAAGUUAGCCACCUGGGGAGUACGUUCGCAAGAAUGAACUCAAAGGAAUUGACGGGACCCGCACAAGCGGUGGAUGAUGUGGAUUAAUUCGAUGCAACGCGAAACCUUACCUACCCUUGACAUGUCCAGAACUCCGAUGAAAGUUGGGGUGCCCCGAAAGGGAAUUGGAACACAGGUGCUGCAUGGCUGUCGU